RNAcentral lists this ribosomal RNA (1443 nucleotides) under uncultured Klebsiella sp. Its description in RNAcentral is "bacterial SSU rRNA". It matches the Rfam family "Bacterial small subunit ribosomal RNA". Lineage: Bacteria; Pseudomonadati; Pseudomonadota; Gammaproteobacteria; Enterobacterales; Enterobacteriaceae. The record is from RNAcentral.
GGAUUGACGGCAGACUACACAUGCAGUCGAGCGGUAGCACAGAGAGCUUGCUCUCGGGUGACGAGCGGCGGACGGGUGAGUAAUGUCUGGGAAACUGCCUGAUGGAGGGGGAUAACUACUGGAAACGGUAGCUAAUACCGCAUAACGUCGCAAGACCAAAGUGGGGGACCUUCGGGCCUCAUGCCAUCAGAUGUGCCCAGAUGGGAUUAGCUAGUAGGUGGGGUAACGGCUCACCUAGGCGACGAUCCCUAGCUGGUCUGAGAGGAUGACCAGCCACACUGGAACUGAGACACGGUCCAGACUCCUACGGGAGGCAGCAGUGGGGAAUAUUGCACAAUGGGCGCAAGCCUGAUGCAGCCAUGCCGCGUGUAUGAAGAAGGCCUUCGGGUUGUAAAGUACUUUCAGCGGGGAGGAAGGCGAUAAGGUUAAUAACCUUGUCGAUUGACGUUACCCGCAGAAGAAGCACCGGCUAACUCCGUGCCAGCAGCCGCGGUAAUACGGAGGGUGCAAGCGUUAAUCGGAAUUACUGGGCGUAAAGCGCACGCAGGCGGUCUGUCAAGUCGGAUGUGAAAUCCCCGGGCUCAACCUGGGAACUGCAUUCGAAACUGGCAGGCUAGAGUCUUGUAGAGGGGGGUAGAAUUCCAGGUGUAGCGGUGAAAUGCGUAGAGAUCUGGAGGAAUACCGGUGGCGAAGGCGGCCCCCUGGACAAAGACUGACGCUCAGGUGCGAAAGCGUGGGGAGCAAACAGGAUUAGAUACCCUGGUAGUCCACGCCGUAAACGAUGUCGAUUUGGAGGUUGUGCCCUUGAGGCGUGGCUUCCGGAGCUAACGCGUUAAAUCGACCGCCUGGGGAGUACGGCCGCAAGGUUAAAACUCAAAUGAAUUGACGGGGGCCCGCACAAGCGGUGGAGCAUGUGGUUUAAUUCGAUGCAACGCGAAGAACCUUACCUGGUCUUGACAUCCACAGAACUUUCCAGAGAUGGCUUGGUGCCUUCGGGAACUGUGAGACAGGUGCUGCAUGGCUGUCGUCAGCUCGUGUUGUGAAAUGUUGGGUUAAGUCCCGCAACGAGCGCAACCCUUAUCCUUUGUUGCCAGCGGUUCGGCCGGGAACUCAAAGGAGACUGCCAGUGAUAAACUGGAGGAAGGUGGGGAUGACGUCAAGUCAUCAUGGCCCUUACGACCAGGGCUACACACGUGCUACAAUGGCAUAUACAAAGAGAAGCGACCUCGCGAGAGCAAGCGGACCUCAUAAAGUAUGUCGUAGUCCGGAUUGGAGUCUGCAACUCGACUCCAUGAAGUCGGAAUCGCUAGUAAUCGUAGAUCAGAAUGCUACGGUGAAUACGUUCCCGGGCCUUGUACACACCGCCCGUCACACCAUGGGAGUGGGUUGCAAAAGAAGUAGGUAGCUUAACCUUCGGGAGGGCGCUACCACUUGAUUAGGGCU